GCCUCCGUGGCCGAGAGGGUAUCAGGCUUGCAAUCCGGAGGUUCCGGGUUCGAUUCCCGGCGAGGGCG
Molecule: transfer RNA, 68 nt
Filed under: Diaphorina citri (Asian citrus psyllid)
Lineage: Eukaryota; Metazoa; Arthropoda; Insecta; Hemiptera; Psyllidae
Rfam family: tRNA
About the family: Transfer RNA (tRNA) molecules are approximately 80 nucleotides in length. Their secondary structure includes four short double-helical elements and three loops (D, anti-codon, and T loops).
Source: Rfam by way of RNAcentral